This 376-nucleotide unclassified non-coding RNA is filed under the name soil metagenome. RNAcentral describes it as "partial contains 5.8S ribosomal RNA, internal transcribed spacer 2, and large subunit ribosomal RNA". The stretch from base 1 to 120 matches the Rfam family "5.8S ribosomal RNA", at positions 35 to 154 of the family's 154-position model. The record is from RNAcentral.
GAUGAAGAACGUAGCGAAAUGCGAUAAGUAAUGUGAAUUGCAGAAUACAGUGAAUCAUCGAAUCUUUGAACGCAUCUUGCGCUCCUUGGUAUUCUGAGGAGCAUGCCUGUUUGAGUGUCAUUAAAUUCUCAACUACACUGACUUUGAAUUGGUGUGGCUUGGAUUUGGGGGGAAAAUUGUUGUGGGCUUUUUGUAUAGUCUGCUCCCCUGAAAUUGAUUAGCGGUACCUUUGUGGAACUGUCUACAGGUGUGAUAAUUAUCUACAUCUUAGACAUCUGCUGGAAUGCUGCUUUCUAAACCUUACUUGUAUUGACAAUCUUGACCUCAAAUCAGGUAGGACUACCCGCUGAACUUAAGCAUAUCAAUAAGCGGAGGA